RNAcentral lists this long non-coding RNA (203 nucleotides) under Ananas comosus (pineapple). Its description in RNAcentral is "long non-coding RNA (ACOM_LNC030412)". The record is from RNAcentral. Lineage: Eukaryota; Viridiplantae; Streptophyta; Magnoliopsida; Poales; Bromeliaceae.
CUUCAUGUGCGGCAUCGUGGAUUCGGCAUGAUCAAGGUGGUUCGUGGAUUUGGUUCGUGGAUUUGGAUCGUGGGUUCGAGGAUUCGAGUGGCGUUCGUGGAUUCGGACGUGAGGCGUGGCGUUCGUGGAUUCGAACGUGGGGCGUGGACAACCCGGUGACGUGCGCGAGAUCCGUAGGAGGUUAAGAGAGGUUAAGCCUGUGG